RNAcentral lists this long non-coding RNA (3448 nucleotides) under Trifolium pratense (red clover). RNAcentral's name for it is "long non-coding RNA (TPRA_LNC002190)". The record is from RNAcentral. Lineage: Eukaryota; Viridiplantae; Streptophyta; Magnoliopsida; Fabales; Fabaceae.
UGUUUAUUUCAAGCAAAGGAGAAUAAUAUGGCUCCAAUUUUCAUGUUUGCAUAUGUUUUGAUUUAUACAACUUUUUCUCCCUAUUUGUUAUUGUAACCGGUACAAGUAAGUCAUUUAUACAACUUUUUAAAAUUUUAUGAUUUAUCUCAUAGAAAAUAUUUUAUCACGUUUUAGCAACGUUCUAUUUUUGUUAUUUGACAAUGCAGGUGACAGUCCUAUCAAAACCGAUCCUGUCUGCAUAACUGACGAGGAUUGUCCGAUAAAAUUGUUUUAUCUUUCUAGGUGUAUUGAGAAUUUAUGUGAGCACCAUUAAUUAAGUUUGAAAAUAAUUUUUUUUUUGAUAAGCAAGAUUUGGAUUAUAAUGAGCACAAGGGGUAUUCAACCCUUACAAUCCAAAAACAAUCACCUUAAAUACAACGAAAACAAGCUAAGGGAUUGUUACACCAGUCAAGGAAAGCUACAUUAUCAAUGUUCGUUGACCGACCGAUGAACCAAAACCAAGCAAUAUAAAUAAUUUGAUCUACUAAAGUUUGAAAAUAAUAAUGUUACAUCGCGUCAUAUAAUGUUAUUUGUAUUUCAUAAUGUUUGUACUUCAAAAUUAACUUUGAAAUUUUCAUUUCUGUUCUGGACUGGGCCAAGAGCUGACCCAAUUACUCUCCUGCCCGGAAUUUGGGGCACAGCCCAAUAAGAGGAGGUCUCCCCGACACGUCAGCCCAUGACGUGUCUUCCUCGACUUAACGGGUUCAUAGCAUGAUAAAAACGUGCUAUCCUAUCCCAGCCACGACUUCAUCCAGGGUCCGUUAUCCACUAAUAGCGGAACAGCUUCCACCAAGAUAUGGGCGAAUAACCGUCUCCCCUACGAUAUAGGGAGUAUCUUGCCAAUUGAGUCUAUUGGGCCGGUUCAUUCUAGCCAAUUAGACCAACCUUUGGCCCAGCGCCGGGGGCAACUAUAUAAGCUCUCUUAUACAGGAGAGUCAGGUAUUCUAUUCUUCACUCUCUCUCUCUUCACUCUCUAUUACACAAGGUUUUAUAUUCUCUUCUCCACCUCUAACCCUAUCUGUCACCACUUUCUCUCUUCUUCUUGAUCUAUUGGAGAAGGGUGAUUUAUGGUCAAAUUAGGCCUAAAAUUAAAUCACCCCUCCAACUUGAUUUUCUUUCUACUUUAAUUAAAUAAGUGCGAUUUCCACAUAUAUUUUAUAUUUCUUUCGUUUGUUUUUGUGAUUUCAUCAUCCUUUGUUUUGAUUUUCCGUCUUAGUGCCUUGUAUUUUGUUUUCCCGUCUUAGUGCUGAUUAUUGUUGUCAUGUCUUAGUUCGGAGUAUUGUUGUCCCGUCUUGGUGCGGUGUACGUUCAUUUGUUUCAGGUUGAAGGAUUAAUGUUGAUCCAGUGCAUAUAUCCAAUCAAUUAUGACUUUUGUGCAUCAACACUUCAGAUUCUGAGACAUAGAUAUUCUGAAAACUUCAAUAUAGUCAAAUAUGUCGUUUUAUGCAAUAUGUCAUUUUAUGCUAUUAACACGGAUGUUGUGAAUUUGUCCGCAGAUUCAUUCUUUUUGUUUUUAGCGACUUUGAAUUUGUAUUGCAUCGAUGUACUCUUACCAAUUUGAAUGAAUGAAUAUCUUUUAUUUAGUAAAAAAAAAAAAAAUCAAAGCUUUUAUGUGAUGUUUAAGUGAUCAAUUGAGCGACAUUUAACAUUACUUUUAAUUUUAUAAAUGGCUUCUUGUGAUUUCAAAGAGCUAAAAAUUAUUUAAGUCAAAAAAGCAUGAAAUUUGUACUUAUAAAGUGAUAAAAAAAAAUUUGUUUAUUACAAGCAAAAGAGAAAAAAAAAUAUGGCUCAAACUCUCAUGUUUUCUUAUGCAUUGAUCGUCUUUCUUUCCCUAUUUCUUGUUGUAAUCGGUAUAAGUAUGUCAUUUUUAUACCAUUUUAAAAAACAAAUCAAUUUAUUCUAUAGAUAAAUAUUUUAUCACAUUUUAGAAACAUUUCUUUUUUAUUAUAUGACAAUGCAGGUGAAACUAAUCCUUUUGGUCUUAGUGGAGCUCCUCUCAAGACUAAACAUGAAUGCGAAAAGGACGAGGAUUGUCCAAUAAUGUUAUAUUAUCUUUAUGCUUGGUGUGUUCAGAAAUUAUGUGAGUACCAUUGAUUAAGUUUAAAAAUAAUAAUUUUGUCAAAAAAUAAAGUUAAUUUAAAAAUAAUAAUAUUACAUCCUCUACCAAAAAAAGAAAAUAUAUAAUAUUACAUCGCAUCGUGUAAUUUAUUUUUAUUUCAUAAUAACGUUUGUAUACUUUUAAAAGAUUCUAUUUGUAUGGCCUUUCAAUUAUAUAUACACAAGAUGGUUCAAAAAAAAAAAAAUUAUAUAUACACAAGUAUAUUUCUUACCUUCUUUAGCUCAUCCAAGAUAUCACAAGCAACAAUAUCACUGCAAAAUUAGCAGUCGCCUCCUUUCAUCUUCAAAAAAAAGGUGCUUUACGGUCAAUUUUUGAAAAUAAGUGAUAUUCACAUAUAUUUAGUUUUUUCCUUUGUGAUUUUGUCGUCUUAGUGCGACGUUUUGUUCGUCGUCUUAGUGCGGUCAGCGUUGUUUUGUUUUUCCGUCUUGGUACGGUGUUUGUUCGGUUCAGUUUCAUAGAUUAUAUUCAAUCCAGUGCAUAUUCAAUCAAUUAUUUAGGCAUCGUCAAUGUUGUAGACUCGGAAGCAUCGAUAUUCAGACACUACAAAAAAUUCGCUCUUAGCCAUGGUCAAAACCGUAGCUAAAACAACUUUAACCGUGGCUUUUUGCCACGUAAAUAAUUAGGGUGGCUUAUCCCGACGUUGCUAAAUUUAGUCACGGUUAUAUUACCCUUUGCCACAACUAUUUAAAACGUGGUAACAUUUUUUAGCCACUGUUUAACUGUAGCUAAAAUUAUUGUGGGGCUUUACAAAAUACACACACUACAAUAUUUUCAUUCUACAGCAACGCCAAAAAACUGUUGCAUAAGCGGACCUUACUAUAGUCUGGUAACUCCCCAAUCAAUCUCUUGUGUCUCUUGUCUUUAUCACUUUAUUCGUUAUUGUUCAUUAGUUAAAAAUCAAUUGAAUAUUUGGUUUGUGAAAGUUCCUUUGUAACUUGCACAUCAAGUGUUUGAUAAAAACACUUGGAGUGUGAUUUUGGAAUUGUUUUCAAAUCAAACGUUGUUGAUUACACACCAAGUGUUUCACUUAGUUUGAAUCUUCUUUGAUUUUAAACACCGGACGUUCUAUAAAUUCUCUAAACUAGUUUUUUCUCUUUUACACUUUGUUGAAAACUAGUUUAUUGUCGCUUAUAUAAUUCAUUAAUUCAUUGAUCUAUCAAUUGAUUACUUUUGAGACACUUUGUUGAAAACUAGUUUAUCGUCGCUUAUAUAACUCAUUAAUUCAUUGAUCUAUCAUUUGAUAAAUUUUAUCUCAAAAUUAAUCAAUUGAACGCUUUAGCUUAGCCUUUU